CGGAUGAUACCAAACUCU
This 18-nucleotide microRNA is filed under the name Callorhinchus milii (elephant shark). Its description in RNAcentral is "eshark_NOVEL_362". The record is from RNAcentral. Lineage: Eukaryota; Metazoa; Chordata; Chondrichthyes; Chimaeriformes; Callorhinchidae.